Camelina sativa (false flax) is the source of this 129-nucleotide non-coding RNA. Lineage: Eukaryota; Viridiplantae; Streptophyta; Magnoliopsida; Brassicales; Brassicaceae. The record is from RefSeq and is a predicted model, not a curated record.
AUGAAAGCUGGUUUCUCCGUUGAUGAAGAAGGAGAAAAAGAUGUAACCAAGAAGGAAAGUAAAGGCAAGGAACACAUGGAGGAUGUUGAAGAUGAGAGAAAAAGCUUGUUGGAUAUUUGGAGGAUGAUA